Molecule: non-coding RNA, 83 nt
Organism: Schistocephalus solidus
Lineage: Eukaryota; Metazoa; Platyhelminthes; Cestoda; Diphyllobothriidea; Diphyllobothriidae
Source: Rfam
GGCCUCAUAGCUCAGUUGGCUAGAGCGUUCGCUGUUCUAAAGCCUUCCCCUUGCUGGCGUGGGUUCGAAUCCCACCGAGGCCG